RNAcentral lists this long non-coding RNA (980 nucleotides) under Lactuca sativa (garden lettuce). RNAcentral describes it as "long non-coding RNA (LSAT_LNC007858)". Lineage: Eukaryota; Viridiplantae; Streptophyta; Magnoliopsida; Asterales; Asteraceae. The record is from RNAcentral.
AAUAAUAAGAUGACAGUUUUUUUGAGCUAACAUAUAUCUUUACCAUUAAAGAUGCUCUUAUUUCUCAUACAAUAAGAUAAAAAAAACAAUACCGAGAUUCCAAAAGAAUGAAUAACCUAAAUGAAUCAUGUAACCUUGCAUAAUUAAACAUUGUGAUACUUCCAUGGGAUGCAUUGUAGCUUAGAGCAAGAUCCUUCCCAUAUGCUUUUGCACUUUUUAUCACUUAAUUCUCCAUCACAACAUCUACAUUCCACUCCAAGUGUAGCAAAUACCUUUGCAUACCCUAUACAUUACAUACACAUACAUGUAUCAAUAGCAUAAUUGAAUAGUAAGACUUUUUCUUGAAAACAUCAAUACACUCUCUAUUCUAGUCCUAAACUACAUCACUGUUCUUGACGACUCGAAACAUCAACCAUUUGGACUCAGAGGCACUAUGUCAACAUCUCAGGUAAUAGUCGCGUUACAACCCCCUUUGAUUAGUAGUCAAGUUUAAACAUGGAUCAUAUUAUGCUUAUCAAAGGAAAACAUAAAUUCAAACACCUUUGUAUAUUUGAAUUUAAACAUACAUAAAUGGAGACAACGUCAUUAUUUCAACGAAGUCUAAUAUGUGAUUGUUUAACAUGUUCGACUAUACAUAAACAGUAACCAUGUUAAAAUUUUCUGAGAUAGUAUAAUUUUGAGACAUGAGCUUUGUACGAGUUUAAGUGUUACCUACAAUACGAGUCAUAUCAAGCUUUAAGAACACAAGUGUUUAUUGAGUUCAGUUGUAUAUAAAUACAAACAAAUUAUAAAGAAAAUGAUAUAAAAAUUUCUUACUUUGAGGGUAAAGAGACUGUGGUCGAAAACCAAAAUCUCUUGUACAUUGUGAUGACUCAAAAAUCAUCAAAAGCAAUAGCAAGAUUCCUAGAUUCCUGAAGCUAUGCAUACCCAUUUCUUUGUGCAAAAAUAAUUUCACUUUGAUAAAAGAUUUGCAUUAAUUU